GCGAAGACGGGGAAAAUCCUCCCGAUUCACACGGUUACCAGCUAAAGCUUCCCCGGGAGGCCGGCGACUGAGACCCCAAAAGCUUCUGUUUGUAGCUACACGUACACGUACUUGCGGCCUGAUGAGUGAUGAGUGAUGACACCCAAGUUGAUCACGCUUGUGUUGGUGGAAGAGAGCGAAGGGAACAGCCCCUCGUCUUGGAUCUGACCGGCUCCUCGUGGAUUGACAAUGGGACUUCGCUGUAGCAAUUCACGCGGUAUAUACAUGAAUAAAUGAUGAACUUUCGGCGACCGCGGCGGUGCAGGUGUCGGGGCUUUUUUUGGCAACUAUGAUGUGUGUGGACGAUGUUAGGGUCGUGAUAAUGGUUGAUGUAGUCUGUUCGGGCUUUUUUGGAGUGUUCAUGGAUUUUUCACGAGUUGUUUGUUGUUGUGAAGUCGAGGACGCGGCGGCGGGGAUGAUGAUGGGCAUCAGAUGGUUUGUUGGGCGAUCUCCUGUGACGUUGGUCUUAUAUAGUUUUAGAGUUGUGUUGUUUUCGUCGUAAAGUGAUUGGGACGGACCUUCAUCUUACUCCACGUGCCAUUUAUGACGUGGAUUGAGUCGACGAUCGUCUAUUGUAAAAUCGAAGUCGUUUGUUAAUGAAG
Molecule: long non-coding RNA, 641 nt
Filed under: Hordeum vulgare
Lineage: Eukaryota; Viridiplantae; Streptophyta; Magnoliopsida; Poales; Poaceae
Description: long non-coding RNA (HVUL_LNC017862)
Source: RNAcentral